AUUAGAUUCAGGAGACCUAUUAAGAUUAUAGAUUUCUUGUAGGCUUUGUGGAUCGUGAGGACUAGCGCAACUAUUCCGAUUCAAAGAUUAGAUAAACGACAGGCAUUGCCUAUUCAGGUUGAUGGCUGGUGCUGACGGGGAGAGCUGAGGCUAGGGUUCAACUCCGUGUUUUGACUUCCGCUGUAGUACUAGCCUUUAUUUGUCUUUCGUUUCCUUGACUUAAGACUUUUAUGUUAUGACUCUAAAUGAUAUCUUUUGAUGAGCUUAGACUCUUGACUCUUACGUAUUUCGAUUAAUGAAUGUUGGUUAUCCGAGGCA
Long non-coding RNA from Salvia miltiorrhiza (redroot sage), 318 nucleotides. RefSeq lists it as uncharacterized. Lineage: Eukaryota; Viridiplantae; Streptophyta; Magnoliopsida; Lamiales; Lamiaceae. The record is from RefSeq and is a predicted model, not a curated record. The transcript has 2 exons.